This 76-nucleotide transfer RNA is filed under the name Rubricoccus marinus. RNAcentral describes it as "tRNA-Ala". It matches the Rfam family "tRNA". Rfam says of the family: Transfer RNA (tRNA) molecules are approximately 80 nucleotides in length. Their secondary structure includes four short double-helical elements and three loops (D, anti-codon, and T loops). Further hydrogen bonds mediate the characteristic L-shaped molecular structure. tRNAs have two regions of fundamental functional importance: the anti-codon, which is responsible for specific mRNA codon recognition, and the 3' end, to which the tRNAs corresponding amino acid is attached (by aminoacyl-tRNA synthetases). tRNAs cope with the degeneracy of the genetic code in two manners: having more than one tRNA (with a specific anti-codon) for a particular amino acid; and 'wobble' base-pairing, i.e. permitting non-standard base-pairing at the 3rd anti-codon position. Lineage: Bacteria; Pseudomonadati; Rhodothermota; Rhodothermia; Rhodothermales; Rubricoccaceae. The record is from RNAcentral.
GGGGCCAUAGCUCAGUUGGUAGAGCGCCUGCUUUGCAAGCAGGAUGUCGGGGGUUCGAAUCCCUCUGGCUCCACGA